GUGCCAGCCGCCGCGGUAACACGUAGGGGGCGAGCGUUGUCCGGAAUUACUGGGCGUAAAGGGUGCGUAGGCGGCCUGAUAAGUCAAGUGUGAAAUACCCGGGCUCAACCUGGGUGGUGCACGUGAAACUGUCGGGCUUGAGUGCAGGAGAGGGAAGUGGAAUUCCUAGUGUAGCGGUGAAAUGCGUAGAUAUUAGGAGGAACACCAGUGGCGAAGGCGGCUUCCUGGACUGUAACUGACGCUGAGGCACGAAAGCGUGGGGAGCAAACAGGAUUAGAUACCCUGGUAGUCCACGCCGUAAACGCUGGAUACUAGGUGUAGGUACCGUUAGGUAUCUGUGCCGUAGUUAACGCAAUAAGUAUCCCGCCUGGGGAGUACGGCCGCAAGGCUGAAACUCAAAGGAAUUGACGG
This 411-nucleotide ribosomal RNA is filed under the name uncultured bacterium. RNAcentral describes it as "bacterial SSU rRNA". It matches the Rfam family "Bacterial small subunit ribosomal RNA", at positions 505 to 916 of the family's 1533-position model. The record is from RNAcentral.